UACGAAGGGGGCUAGCGUUGCUCGGAAUCACUGGGCGUAAAGGGUGUGUAGGUGGCGCGCUAAGUCGGGUGUGAAAUUUCGGAGCUUAACUCCGAAACUGCAUUCGAUACUGGCGUGCUUGAGGACUGGAGAGGAGACUGGAAUUCAUGGUGUAGCAGUGAAAUGCGUAGAGAUCAUGAGGAAGACCAGUGGCGAAGGCGGGUCUCUGGACAGUUCCUGACACUGAGGCACGAAGGCCAGGGGAGCAAACGGG
This 253-nucleotide ribosomal RNA is filed under the name uncultured bacterium. Its description in RNAcentral is "partial 16S ribosomal RNA". It matches the Rfam family "Bacterial small subunit ribosomal RNA", at positions 524 to 776 of the family's 1533-position model. The record is from RNAcentral.